AUGUUAGCUUCAGCAGCACAUAUACUAAAAUUAGAACAUACAGAGAAGAUUAGCAUGGCCUCAGCACAAGGAUGACACACAAAUUUGUGAAGCAUUCCAAAUUUUU
Molecule: small nuclear RNA, 106 nt
Organism: Leptonychotes weddellii (Weddell seal)
Lineage: Eukaryota; Metazoa; Chordata; Mammalia; Carnivora; Phocidae
Source: RefSeq, a predicted model, not a curated record